Molecule: ribosomal RNA, 1330 nt
Filed under: uncultured bacterium
Lineage: Bacteria
Description: bacterial SSU rRNA
Rfam family: Bacterial small subunit ribosomal RNA
Source: RNAcentral
UUGGCGGCGCGCCUAACACAUGCAAGUCGAACGAGCGAGAGAGAGCUUGCUUUCUCGAGCGAGUGGCGAACGGGUGAGUAACGCGUGAGGAACCUGCCUCAAAGAGGGGGACAACAGUUGGAAACGACUGCUAAUACCGCAUAAGCCCACGGGUCGGCAUCGACCAGAGGGAAAAGGAGCAAUCCGCUUUGAGAUGGCCUCGCGUCCGAUUAGCUAGUUGGUGAGGUAAUGGCCCACCAAGGCAACGAUCGGUAGCCGGACUGAGAGGUUGAACGGCCACAUUGGGACUGAGACACGGCCCAGACUCCUACGGGAGGCAGCAGUGGGGAAUAUUGCACAAUGGGGGAAACCCUGAUGCAGCGACGCCGCGUGGAGGAAGAAGGUCUUCGGAUUGUAAACUCCUGUUGUUGGGGAAGAUAAUGACGGUACCCAACAAGGAAGUGACGGCUAACUACGUGCCAGCAGCCGCGGUAAAACGUAGGUCACAAGCGUUGUCCGGAAUUACUGGGUGUAAAGGGAGCGCAGGCGGGAAGACAAGUUGGAAGUGAAAUCUAUGGGCUCAACCCAUAGACUGCUUUCAAAACUGUUUUUCUUGAGUAGUGCAGAGGUAGGCGGAAUUCCCGGUGUAGCGGUGGAAUGCGUAGAUAUCGGGAGGAACACCAGUUGCGAAGGCGGCCUACUGGGCACCAACUGACGCUGAGGCUCGAAAGUGUGGGUAGCAAACAGGAUUAGAUACCCUGGUAGUCCACACCGUAAACGAUGAUUACUAGGUGUUGGAGGAUUGACCCCUUCAGUGCCGCAGUUAACACAAUAAGUAAUCCACCUGGGGAGUACGACCGCAAGGUUGAAACUCAAAGGAAUUGACGGGGGCCCGCACAAGCAGUGGAGUAUGUGGUUUAAUUCGACGCAACGCGAAGAACCUUACCAAGUCUUGACAUCCCUUGACAGACAUAGAAAUAUGUAAUCUCUUCGGAGCAAGGAGACAGGUGGUGCAUGGUUGUCGUCAGCUCGUGUCGUGAGAUGUUGGGUUAAGUCCCGCAACGAGCGCAACCCUUAUGGUCAGUUACUACGCAAGAGGACUCUGGCCAGACUGCCGUUGACAAAACGGAGGAAGGUGGGGAUGACGUCAAAUCAUCAUGCCCUUUAUGACUUGGGCUACACACGUACUACAAUGGCGUUAAACAAAGAGAAGCAAGACCGCGAGGUGGAGCAAAACUCAGAAACAACGUCCCAGUUCGGACUGCAGGCUGCAACUCGCCUGCACGAAGUCGGAAUUGCUAGUAAUCGUGGAUCAGCAUGCCACGGUGAAUACGUUCCCGGGCCUUGUACA